Molecule: ribosomal RNA, 587 nt
Filed under: uncultured bacterium
Lineage: Bacteria
Description: partial 16S ribosomal RNA
Rfam family: Bacterial small subunit ribosomal RNA
Source: RNAcentral
UGGGAAUUUUGGACAAUGGGCGAAAGCCUGAUCCAGCAAUGCCGCGUGUGUGAAGAAGGCCUUCGGGUUGUAAAGCACUUUUGUCCGGAAAGAAAUCCUUGGCUCUAAUACAGUCGGGGGAUGACGGUACCGGAAGAAUAAGCACCGGCUAACUACGUGCCAGCAGCCGCGGUAAUACGUAGGGUGCAAGCGUUAAUCGGAAUUACUGGGCGUAAAGCGUGCGCAGGCGGUUUGCUAAGACCGAUGUGAAAUCCCCGGGCUCAACCUGGGAACUGCAUUGGUGACUGGCAGGCUAGAGUAUGGCAGAGGGGGGUAGAAUUCCACGUGUAGCAGUGAAAUGCGUAGAGAUGUGGAGGAAUACCGAUGGCGAAGGCAGCCCCCAUGGGCCAAUACUGACGCUCAUGCACGAAAGCGUGGGGAGCAAACAGGAUUAGAUACCCUGGUAGUCCACGCCCUAAACGAUGUCAACUAGUUGUUGGGGACUUCAUUUUCCUUAGUAACGUAGCUAACGCGUGAAGUUGACCGCCUGGGGAGUACGGUCGCAAGAUUAAAACUCAAAUGAAUUGACGGGGUCAUAGCUGUUUCCU